CCCUUAGAUGUUCUGGGCCACACGCGCGCUACAAUGAUGAAUUCAACGAGUUUAUAACCUUGGUUGAAAAGCCUGGGUAAUCUUUUGAACUUUCGUCGUGAUGGGGCUAGACCCUUGCAAUUAUUGGUCUCCAACGAGGAAUUCCUAGUAAACGCAAGUCAUCAGCUUGCAUUGAUUACGUCCCUGCCCUUUGUACACACCGCCCGUCGCACCUACCGAUUGAAUGGUCCGGUGAAAUCUUCGGAUUGAGACUUUGAUUUCUUCACGGAAAACGCUGUUUUAAAAAGUUGAUUAAACCUUACCAUUUAGAGGAAGGUGAAGUCGUAACA
RNAcentral lists this ribosomal RNA (329 nucleotides) under uncultured eukaryote. RNAcentral describes it as "partial 18S ribosomal RNA". It matches the Rfam family "Eukaryotic small subunit ribosomal RNA", at positions 1470 to 1796 of the family's 1831-position model. The record is from RNAcentral.